This 525-nucleotide long non-coding RNA is filed under the name Trifolium pratense (red clover). Its description in RNAcentral is "long non-coding RNA (TPRA_LNC007048)". Lineage: Eukaryota; Viridiplantae; Streptophyta; Magnoliopsida; Fabales; Fabaceae. The record is from RNAcentral.
GCCUCUCGUCUUUUCUUAACCUAUAUACUUUCUAAGUGAGCUAUUAGCCUAAGUCUUUGAAAAAAAUUUAAUUUGGCUCAAGAAAAGGAAAGAUUUAGAAAAACCAAAGAAGAUACUAUAAAUUUAAUUUUUUUUUAUUAUGCGAAAGGGAAUAAAAAUUCAAAUAACUAAGAAUUAAAAGUAAAUAGAGAUAGUAGAAUACUCCCCUAAACUUAAAUCCAACAGUGUCCUCACUGUUGCAACUCAAGAGUAGUUUUGGAGCGUAAAACCUGUGGCAACAGCCCUGCAUCUUAUGUUGGGUUUGCAGAAUUUGGUUUGGCUGGGCUUGCAUGGAUGUCACUUGUUUCAUCAUCUCCUCUUGUUGUUGAUGCAUGGCAUAGAAUAAUCCAUCACACUCUUGAUUUAAUGCAUUUUGGGCGCGUAUCUCAUGGAGUACAUCAUCGAUGGAGCUUUGCCUUGAUGAGGAGGAACUACCUGCAAAAGUGUUAGAAAAAUGUGUAGUGUGUGCAGGUGGAACAAUGCUNN